Penaeus vannamei (Pacific white shrimp) is the source of this 781-nucleotide non-coding RNA. NCBI's taxonomy places the organism in Eukaryota, Metazoa, Arthropoda, Malacostraca, Decapoda, Penaeidae. The record is from RefSeq and is a predicted model, not a curated record.
CGAGGUGAUCGCUGAUGUUAUUUUCAACUCCCCCUAAGACAGUUCCCAAGUCGAGCUCCUUGAGAGACAUCCGGAUGAUGCGGAUGAGGAGGUUCAUCCGCUCGCACUCCUGGAAGGCGACCACGACGUAGGGCGUCCGCUCCUCCACCUUGCCCGUGAUGUCGGACAUGUUGAACUCCUCGGGCAGCUUCUCCAGGAUCUCGUCCAGGGUCUGCUUCACCUGAAAGAGGCAAGAGGGGUGGUUUUGUAAUCCUUAGAUCCUAAAGUUUUGAAAAGCGUAAUUCGGAAUGUGGAUGAGGUACAUAAACCCCGGAAAUUAUUCCUUCCUUAAUGAGGGGAAGGAUUGCUAAACGCUAUCAUAGAGAUAACGUUACUGUCCUAGCCGCUUUUAUAAUUAUAGGCGUUCAAUAGCGAUCGAAGGACCACAGGGAAGGCCGUACCUUAUCCUCCCUUGUGAUGACGACGCCGCUUGUGUUCCCCAUGUCUCGCGGCUGGAGCUCGAACACCGUCUUGAAGAGGUGCUCCGACGUCAUGCUACCUGGUCUGGGUGCAGGAACUCCUCGAGGUACGUGCGACACAGCCUGCGGUCCCAGUCGUCCGUAAUGUGGCCCCCGUACAUGAUCUCCCCGAAGAGGUAGCGGAGGUCCUCCCAGGGAACCUUGCUGUUCGCCUCCAGGAUAGCCACUUUGGUCCCCGAAUGUACCGGUGUUGAAGGGGUAGGGUCUGUUCCAUCCCUGCGACCCGAACUUUCUCCUCUCCGCGACGCAUGCGUGGAAGUAAC